GCAUAUCAAUAAGCGGAGGAAAAGAAACUAACAAGGAUUCCCCUAGUAACGGCGAGUGAAGCGGGAAAAGCUCAAAUUUGAAAUCUGGCAGCCUCAGGUUGCCCGAGUUGUAAUCUAUAGAAACGUUUUCCGCGCUGGCCCAUGUACAAGUCUCCUGGAAUGGAGCGUCAUAGAGGGUGAGAAUCCCGUCCUUGACAUGGACUACCAGUGCUUUGUGAUACGUUUUCAAAGAGUCGAGUUGUUUGGGAAUGCAGCUCAAAAUGGGUGGUAAAUUCCAUCUAAAGCUAAAUAUUGGCGAGAGACCGAUAGCGAACAAGUACCGUGAGGGAAAGAUGAAAAGCACUUUGGAAAGAGAGUUAAACAGUAUGUGAAAUUGUUGAAAGGGAAACGAUUGAAGUCAGUCAUGUCUAUUGGACUCAGCCGGUUCUGCCGGUGUACUUCCUUUAGAUGGGGUCAACAUCAGUUUUGAUCGCUGGAAAAGGGCAGGAGGAAUGUAGCACUCUCGGGUGAACUUAUAGCCUUCUGUCGUAUACAGUGGUUGGGACUGAGGAACGCAGCAUGCCUUUAUGGCCGGGGUUCGCCCACGUACAUGCUUAGGAUGUUGACAUAAUGGCUUUAAACGACCCGUCUUGAAACACGGACC
Molecule: ribosomal RNA, 643 nt
Filed under: Solicoccozyma terrea
Lineage: Eukaryota; Fungi; Basidiomycota; Tremellomycetes; Filobasidiales; Piskurozymaceae
Description: LSU rRNA
Rfam family: Eukaryotic large subunit ribosomal RNA
Source: RNAcentral